This 419-nucleotide ribosomal RNA is filed under the name bacterium. RNAcentral describes it as "partial 16S ribosomal RNA". It matches the Rfam family "Bacterial small subunit ribosomal RNA", at positions 355 to 776 of the family's 1533-position model. The record is from RNAcentral.
UGGGGGAUAUUGCACAAUGGGCGAAAGCCUGAUGCAGCGACGCCGCGUGGGGGAUGAAGGCCUUCGGGUUGUAAACUUCUUUUGCUCUGAACAAGGCGCACCAUGGGGUGUGUUGAGUGUAGGGGUUGAUUAGCGCCGGCUAACUAAGUGCCAGCAGCCGCGGUAAUACGUAGGGCGCGAGCGUUGUCCGGAAUUAUUGGGCGUAAAGGGCUUGUAGGUGGCUGGUUGCGUCUGUCGUGAAAGCUCAUGGCUUAACUGUGGGUUUGCGGUGGGUACGGGCUGGCUUGAGUGCAGUAGGGGAGGCUGGAAUUCCUGGUGUAGCGGUGGAAUGCGCAGAUAUCAGGAGGAAUACCGGUGGCGAAGGCGGGUCUCUGGGCUGUUACUGACACUGAGGAGCGAAAGCAUGGGGAGCGAACAGG